AUGGCGUCCAAAGUCCUUGUCGCAAUCCUCCUGCUCGCCGCGGCGACGCCAGCGUCGCUGGCUGCCAUCGAUGUGGUGCAGCUGCUCGCCGGAAAACCCCAGUACGCGACCUUCCUGAGGCUCCUGAAGGAGACAAAGGUCGCCGAUGACGUGAGCCGCCUCAAGUCGGCUUCCGUGCUGGUCGUCACCGAGAAGACCGUGAAGCCACUCUUGGCGGUGCCGGCCGCCAAGCAGAGGACGAUCCUCCUGCAUCAUGUGCUCAUCAAGUAUUUCGACCCCAUCCAGCUGGGCGAGAUGAAGACCAACGUUGCCAAGCUCCAGACCAUGCUCUCCAACACGGAUGAGGACAUGGGCACCAUCGACUACUCCAAGGACAAGGACGGCCAGAUGUACCUACGCUCCCCAGGCGCCGACAGUGUCGCCAAGCUCGUCAAGGUCGUCGCCGCGCGCCCCUUCACCAUCUCCAUCAUGGAGAUCAGCGCGCCGCUCUUGUGCCCCAAGCUACUCGGCCCUGGCGCCGCCGGCGCUGCCGCUGGCAGGCCCAAGGGCAAGGGCAAGGGCAAGAUCAAAACCAUGUCCGCUGAGGAAGGGGCCACCGCCGCGGCUCCAACUGCCUGA
This 618-nucleotide ribosomal RNA is filed under the name Triticum aestivum (bread wheat). Its description in RNAcentral is "partial small subunit ribosomal RNA". Lineage: Eukaryota; Viridiplantae; Streptophyta; Magnoliopsida; Poales; Poaceae. The record is from RNAcentral.